CGGCGCUGGGCAAACGAUCGCGGCGGCGCAUGCGUCGUCGAGGAAAGUCCGGGCUGCAUCGGGCAGGGUGCCAGGUAACCCCUGGGAGGCGAGAGCCUACGGAAAGUGCAACAGAGAGCAGACAGCCUAAGAGCGCGGUUCGCCGCGGUCCGGUGAUGGUGAAAGGGUGCGGUAAGAGCGCACCGCGCGAGUGGUAACACGUCGCGGCUAGGUAAACCCCACCCGCAGCAAGGCCAAAUAGGGAAGCAAUGGCGCGGCCCGCGCUGCUUCCGGGUAGGCUGCUAGAGCCGUGCGGUGACGCACGGCCCAGAGGAAUGAUCGUUCUCGACAGAACCCGGCUUAUGACCGGCCCGGUCU
RNAcentral lists this RNase P RNA (357 nucleotides) under Lysobacterales bacterium. RNAcentral describes it as "RNase P RNA component class A". It matches the Rfam family "Bacterial RNase P class A". From Rfam's summary of the family: Ribonuclease P (RNase P) is a ubiquitous endoribonuclease, found in archaea, bacteria and eukarya as well as chloroplasts and mitochondria. Lineage: Bacteria; Pseudomonadati; Pseudomonadota; Gammaproteobacteria; Lysobacterales. The record is from RNAcentral.